This 1263-nucleotide ribosomal RNA is filed under the name metagenome. RNAcentral describes it as "bacterial LSU rRNA". It matches the Rfam family "Bacterial large subunit ribosomal RNA", at positions 1527 to 2803 of the family's 2925-position model. The record is from RNAcentral.
UAGAUAUAGGCAAAUCCGUAUCUGAGCUGAGACCUGAUAGUACACAAGUCCCUUGGGAUGAGUGAUAGUGACUGUAAGCAUACUUCCAAGAAAAACCUCUAAACUUCAGGCUGACACAUCCCGUACCGUAAACCGACACAGGUAGUCGAGGAGAGUAUCCUAAGGCGCUCGAGUGAUCCGUGGCUAAGGAACUAGGCAAAAUGGUCUCGUAACUUCGGGAGAAGAGACUCCCCUCGUGAGAGGGGACGCAGUGAAGAGGCCCAGGCGACUGUUUAACAAAAACACAGGACUCUGCAAAAUCGUAAGAUGAAGUAUAGGGUCUGACACCUGCCCGGUGCUGGAAGGUUAAGGAAGGGGGUUAGUGCGUAAGUGCGAAGCUCUUAACUGAGGCCCCAGUAAACGGCGGCCGUAACGAUAACGGUCCUAAGGUAGCGAAAUUCCUUGUCGAGUAAGUUCCGACCUGCACGAAUGGUGUAACGAUCUGGGCGCUGUCUCAGCCACGAGCUCGGUGAAAUUGAAGUAUUGGUGAAGAUGCCGAUUACCCGCAACGGGACAGAAAGACCCCGUGAACCUUUACUACAACUUCACAUUGAGCUUGAAUACAGGAUGUGUAGGAUAGGUGGGAGGCUACGAAGCUGUGACGCUAGUCAUGGUGGAGCCAACGUUGAAAUACCACCCUUCCUGUAUUUAGGUUCUAAUCCCUAAAAGGGAAACAGUGUGUGGUGGGUAGUUUGACUGGGGUGGUCGCCUCCAAAAAAGUAACGGAGGCUCGCAAAGGUACACUCAGCAUGGUCGGUAAUCAUGCGAAGAGCGUAUUAGUAUAAGUGUGCUUGACUGAGAGACCGACGGGUCGAUCAGGAACGAAAGUUGGCUAAAGUGAUCCGGUGUUUCCGCAUGGAAGGGACAUCGCUCAAAGGAUAAAAGGUACUCCGGAUAACAGGCUGAUCCUACCCAAGAGCUCAUAUCGACGGUAGGGUUUGGCACCUCGAUGUCGGCUCGUCACAUCCUGGGGCUGGAGAAGGUCCCAAGGGUUGGGCUGUUCGCCCAUUAAAGUGGCACGCGAGCUGGGUUCAGAACGUCGCAAGACAGUUCGGUCCCUAUCUGUUGUGGGCGCAGGAAUAUUGAAGGGAGCUGAUUCUAGUACGAGAGGACCGAAUUGGACGUACCGCUAGUGUACCGGUUGUGGCGCCAGCUGCACCGCCGGGUAGCUAUGUACGGCAAGGAUAAGCGCUGAAAGCAUCUAAGCGCGAAGCCAUCCCUAAG